This 511-nucleotide ribosomal RNA is filed under the name uncultured bacterium. Its description in RNAcentral is "bacterial SSU rRNA". It matches the Rfam family "Bacterial small subunit ribosomal RNA", at positions 19 to 518 of the family's 1533-position model. The record is from RNAcentral.
AUGGCUCAGAACGAACGCUGGCGGCGCGUCUUAAGCAUGCAAGUCGAACGGCAUGAGGAAGCUUGCUUCCUCAGAGAGUGGCGGACUGGUGAGUAACACGUGGGUGACCUACCCUUGAGAUGGGGAUAGCCGUUAGAAAUAGCGGAUAAUACCGAAUACGCUCUACGGACUCUGGUUUGUAGAGGAAACAGGCUACGGCCUGGCUCGAGGAUGGGCCCGCGUCCCAUUAGCUAGUUGGUGAGGUAAGAGCCCACCAAGGCGACGAUGGGUAUCCGGCCUGAGAGGGUGUACGGACACAUUGGGACUGAGAUACGGCCCAAACUCCUACGGGAGGCAGCAGCUAAGAAUAUUCCGCAAUGGACGAAAGUCUGACGGAGCGACGCCGCGUGGAUGACGAAGGCCGAAAGGUUGUAAAAUCCUUUUGCUGAUGAAGAAUAAGCGUGGUAGGGAAUGACCGCGUGAUGACAUUAGUCGGUGAAUAAGCCCCGGCUAACUACGUGCCAGCCGCAGC